GAUAGAUUCUUUUAAUAUUCUGAUACUAGGAGCUCUUUUUUUCCAAAUGAGUGGCAAAUGAUUCCUGUAGAAUUUUCAAUCUUUUCAGGAUAUUAAUGAAUGAGAAUAGCAAAGGCCCUGGCAACCAGAAAUCUGCAAACAAGAGGCAUCUUCAUCCUACAUUUAUUGAAUAUUGUCUACCCAGUGCCUAUGUUCUACUCAACUACCAACCUAUCCAAAGCAGAAAAUUGGACUUGUCACAAUGACCUGGGCUUCUGAAGAUGCUGAUAAAUAUUUUCUGCUAAAGACCCUAAUGAGAGACAUGGUUGGAACAGACAGACUUGCUGAGCUCCCUUUCCAGGAGAUAUGAAAGAGAUGGUAACAUACCUUAUCAUAUUCCCUCUCUCUGUCCAAGAGGGAAAGAAGAGGAUCCAAAGUCUAUCUUUGUUCUCUAAAGUCAUCUUUCCAUUUUUUUUCUGUUUAAGUGAUUUACAUUCU
RNAcentral lists this long non-coding RNA (477 nucleotides) under Monodelphis domestica (gray short-tailed opossum). RNAcentral describes it as "lncRNA (ENSMODG00000046204.1)". The record is from RNAcentral. Lineage: Eukaryota; Metazoa; Chordata; Mammalia; Didelphimorphia; Didelphidae.